GACAGAGGUGCCGAGCGUUAGGCGGAAUCACUGGGCUUAAAGCGUGUGUAGGCGGGCCGUUAAGUAUCAUGUGAAAUCCCCCGGCUCAACCGGGGAAUGGCUGGAUAUACUGGCGGUCUUGAGCGAUCUAGGGGCAGAUGGAACAAGUGGUGGAGCGGUGAAAUGCGUAGAUAUCACUUGGAACGCCAAAGGUGAAAACAGUCUGCUGGGGAUCUGCUGACGCUGAGACACGAAAGCCAGGGGAGCGAACGGG
Molecule: ribosomal RNA, 253 nt
Filed under: uncultured bacterium
Lineage: Bacteria
Description: partial 16S ribosomal RNA
Rfam family: Bacterial small subunit ribosomal RNA
Source: RNAcentral